AGGGAAACCGAGUCUUAACUGGGCGUUAAGUUGCAGGGUAUAGACCCGAAACCCGGUGAUCUAGCCAUGGGCAGGUUGAAGGUUGGGUAACACUAACUGGAGGACCGAACCGACUAAUGUUGAAAAAUUAGCGGAUGACUUGUGGCUGGGGGUGAAAGGCCAAUCAAACCGGGAGAUAGCUGGUUCUCCCCGAAAGCUAUUUAGGUAGCGCCUCGUGAACUCAUCUUCGGGGGUAGAGCACUGUUUCGGCUAGGGGGUCAUCCCGACUUACCAACCCGAUGCAAACUGCGAAUACCGAAGAAUGUUAUCACGGGAGACACACGGCGGGUGCUAACGUCCGUCGUGAAGAGGGAAACAACCCAGACCGCCAGCUAAGGUCCCAAAGUCACAGUUAAGUGGGAAACGAUGUGGGAAGGCUCAGACAGCCAGGAUGUUGGCUUAGAAGCAGCCAUCAUUUAAAGAAAGCGUAAUAGCUCACUGGUCGAGUCGGCCUGCGCGGAAGAUGUAACGGGGCUAAACUGUGCACCGAAGCUGCGGCAGCGACGCUUAUGCGUUGUUGGGUAGGGGAGCGUUCUGUAAGCCUGCGAAGGUGUCCUGUGAGGGAUGCUGGAGGUAUCAGAAGUGCGAAUGCUGACAUAAGUAACGAUAAUGCGGGUGAAAAGCCCGCUCGCCGGAAGACCAAGGGUUCCUGUCCAACGUUAAUCGGGGCAGG
This 712-nucleotide ribosomal RNA is filed under the name Salmonella enterica subsp. enterica serovar Kentucky. Its description in RNAcentral is "partial 23S ribosomal RNA". It matches the Rfam family "Bacterial large subunit ribosomal RNA", at positions 670 to 1378 of the family's 2925-position model. The record is from RNAcentral. Lineage: Bacteria; Pseudomonadati; Pseudomonadota; Gammaproteobacteria; Enterobacterales; Enterobacteriaceae.